ACAGCAAGCUUGCUUGCUGUGUCGUGACUGCGUGCCUUUUGAAGAAUGAGCCUGCGAGUUUGCGGCAUGUUGCGAGGUUAACCCGUGUGGGGGAGCCGUAGCGAAAGCGAGUCCGAAGAGGGCGACCUGAGUAGCGUGUUCAAGACCCGAAGCGGAGUGAUCUAGCCAUGGGCAGGGUGAAGCGGAGGUAAGACUUCGUGGAGGCCCGAACCCACCAGGGUUGAAAACCUGGGGGAUGACCUGUGGUUAGGGG
This 253-nucleotide ribosomal RNA is filed under the name Streptomyces hazeniae. RNAcentral's name for it is "Streptomyces sp. DSM 42041 partial 23S ribosomal RNA". It matches the Rfam family "Bacterial large subunit ribosomal RNA", at positions 570 to 821 of the family's 2925-position model. Lineage: Bacteria; Bacillati; Actinomycetota; Actinomycetes; Kitasatosporales; Streptomycetaceae. The record is from RNAcentral.